Molecule: unclassified non-coding RNA, 352 nt
Filed under: Klebsiella pneumoniae subsp. pneumoniae
Lineage: Bacteria; Pseudomonadati; Pseudomonadota; Gammaproteobacteria; Enterobacterales; Enterobacteriaceae
Description: partial 16S-23S ribosomal RNA intergenic spacer
Rfam family: Salmonella enterica Typhi npcRNA 44 (bases 239-345)
Source: RNAcentral
CCUUAAAGAACCUGCCUUUGUAGUGCUCACACAGAUUGUCUGAUGAAAGUAUAGAAGCAAGGCGUCUUGCGAUUGAGACUUCAGUGUCCCCUUCGUCUAGAGGCCCAGGACACCGCCCUUUCACGGCGGUAACAGGGGCUCGAAUCCCCUAGGGGACGCCACUUGCUGGUUCGUGAGUGAAAGACGCGUGCCGAUAUAUCUCAAAACUCAUCUUCGGGUGAUGUUUGAGAUAUUUGCUCUUUAAAAAUCUGGAUCAAGCUGAAAAUUGAAACGACACAUCUUUAAUGGUGUGUUCGAGUCUCUCAAAUUUUCGCGACACGAUGGUGUUUUACGAAACAUCUUCGGGUUGUGA